CCUACGGGGAGCAGCAGUGAGGAAUAUUGGUCAAUGGGCGAGAGCCUGAACCAGCCAAGUCGCGUGAGGGAGUACUGCCCUAUGGGUUGUAAACCUCUUUUGUCGGGGAGCAAAAGCCGGACGUGUCCGGCUGUGAGAGUACCCGAAGAAAAAGCAUCGGCUAACUCCGUGCCAGCAGCCGCGGUAAUACGGAGGAUGCGAGCGUUAUCCGGAUUUAUUGGGGUUAAAGGGUGCGAAGGCGGAUUUUUAAGUCAGCGGUCAAAUCGUGGGGCUCAACCCCAUCCAGCCGUUGAAACUGGGGAUCUAGAGUGUGCGAGAGGUAUGCGGAAUGCGUGGUGUAGCGGUGAAAUGCAUAGAUAUCACGCAGAACCCCGAUUGCGAAGGCAGCAUACCGGUGCACAACUGACGCUCAGGCACGAAAGCGUGGGUAUCGAACAGGAUUAGAUACCCUUGUAGUC
Molecule: ribosomal RNA, 458 nt
Filed under: uncultured bacterium
Lineage: Bacteria
Description: partial 16S ribosomal RNA
Rfam family: Bacterial small subunit ribosomal RNA
Source: RNAcentral